CCUACGGGUGGCAGCAGUGAGGAAUAUUGGUCAAUGGACGAAAGGCUGAACCAGCCAAGUCGCGUGAAGGAUGACUGACCUAUGGUUUGUAAACUUCUUUUAUAAGGGAAUAAAACUAUGCACGUGUGGCUAUUUGCAUGUACUCUAUGAAUAAGCAUCGGCUAACUCCGUGCCAGCAGCCGCGGUAAUACGGAGGAUGCGAGCGUUAUCCGGAUUUAUUGGGUUUAAAGGGUGCGUAGGUUGGUUUUUAAGUCAGCGGUUAAAGUUUGGGGGUCAACCAUAAAAUUGCCGAUGAAACUGGACGGCAUGAGGGAGAGUGAGGGAGGGCGAAAGCGGGGUGUAGCGGUGAAAUGCUUAGAUAUCACGCAGAACCCCGAUUGCGAAGGCAGCUUACUAAGCCGUGACUGACACUGAGGUGCGAAAGCGUGGGUAGCAAACAGGAUUAGAUACCCGAGUAGUC
Molecule: ribosomal RNA, 460 nt
Filed under: uncultured bacterium
Lineage: Bacteria
Description: partial 16S ribosomal RNA
Rfam family: Bacterial small subunit ribosomal RNA
Source: RNAcentral